GUGGGGAAUUUUGGACAAUGGGCGAAAGCCUGAUCCAGCAAUGCCGCGUGCAGGAUGAAGGCCCUCGGGUUGUAAACUGCUUUUGUACGGAACGAAAAGCCUGGGGCUAAUAUCCCCGGGUCAUGACGGUACCGUAAGAAUAAGCACCGGCUAACUACGUGCCAGCAGCCGCGGUAAUACGUAGGGUGCAAGCGUUAAUCGGAAUUACUGGGCGUAAAGCGUGCGCAGGCGGUUUUGUAAGACAGUGGUGAAAUCCCCGGGCUCAACCUGGGAACUGCCAUUGUGACUGCAAGGCUAGAGUGCGGCAGAGGGGGAUGGAAUUCCGCGUGUAGCAGUGAAAUGCGUAGAUAUGCGGAGGAACACCGAUGGCGAAGGCAAUCCCCUGGGCCUGCACUGACGCUCAUGCACGAAAGCGUGGGGAGCAAACAGGAUUAGAUACCCGAGUAGUCC
RNAcentral lists this ribosomal RNA (450 nucleotides) under uncultured bacterium. RNAcentral describes it as "partial 16S ribosomal RNA". It matches the Rfam family "Bacterial small subunit ribosomal RNA", at positions 354 to 796 of the family's 1533-position model. The record is from RNAcentral.